AUUAAUUAGGUUUGUGGUUGAAAGUCGAUGCUAGUCGCAGGCAAAACGAUCCACGUAAGUUAGAAAAAGUUCUAAUGAGCAUGGUGCGGUAUAGAAGUAAGACCUGCCGGGGACAAGAUCUUCGAGAGAGGGAAUAGUGAGAGGCAUACCACCUUAGGCAAAACCUCCAGCAGGCGGGUGUGGGGUCAAAAACCAGGUCAACUAAUUAAU
RNAcentral lists this non-coding RNA (210 nucleotides) under Clostridium cylindrosporum DSM 605. RNAcentral's name for it is "raiA RNA". It matches the Rfam family "raiA RNA". The record is from Rfam by way of RNAcentral. Lineage: Bacteria; Bacillati; Bacillota; Clostridia; Eubacteriales; Clostridiaceae.